Molecule: ribosomal RNA, 433 nt
Filed under: uncultured bacterium
Lineage: Bacteria
Description: partial 16S ribosomal RNA
Rfam family: Bacterial small subunit ribosomal RNA
Source: RNAcentral
AACGAACGCUGGCGGCAUGCCUAACACAUGCAAGUCGAACGAGACCUUCGGGUCUAAUGGCGCACGGGUGCGUAACGCGUGGGAACCUGCCCUUAGGUUCGGAAUAACUCCCCGAAAGGGGUGCUAAUACCGGAUAAUGUCUUCGGACCAAAGAUUUAUCGCCUUUGGAUGGGCCCGCGUUGGAUUAGCUAGUUGGUAGGGUAAAAGCCUACCAAGGCGACGAUCCAUAGCUGGUCUGAGAGGAUGAUCAGCCACACUGGGACUGAGACACGGCCCAGACUCCUACGGGAGGCAGCAGUGGGGAAUAUUGGAAAAUGGGGGAAAGCCUGAUCCAGCAAUGCCGCGUGAGUGAUGAAGGCCUUAGGGUUGUAAAGCUCUUUUACCCGGGAUGAUAAUGACAGUACCGGGAGAAUAAGCGCCGGCUAACUACGUG